UAAUGGCCUCAGUGGCCGCCGAUAUUAA
RNAcentral lists this small RNA (28 nucleotides) under Bombyx mori (domestic silkworm). RNAcentral's name for it is "ovarian small RNA-19792". The record is from RNAcentral. Lineage: Eukaryota; Metazoa; Arthropoda; Insecta; Lepidoptera; Bombycidae.